This 253-nucleotide ribosomal RNA is filed under the name uncultured bacterium. Its description in RNAcentral is "partial 16S ribosomal RNA". It matches the Rfam family "Bacterial small subunit ribosomal RNA", at positions 524 to 776 of the family's 1533-position model. The record is from RNAcentral.
GACGAACCGUGCAAACGUUGUUCGGAAUCACUGGGCUUAAAGGGCGCGUAGGCGGGUCACCAAGUCCGGGGUGAAAUCUUUCGGCUCAACCGGAAAAGUGCCUUGGAUACUGGUGGUCUUGAGUGAGGUAGGGGCAUGUGGAACCUUCGGUGGAGCGGUGAAAUGCGUUGAUAUCGGAAGGAACUCCGGUGGCGAAAGCGACGUGCUGGACCUCUUCUGACGCUGAGGCGCGAAAGCUAGGGGAGCAAGCGGG